CCAUUGGAAGUGUGUAAUGAUAAUUUUCACUUCAAGAAACCAAACUUCUUCCUAAUAAAGCCCUAAAGGUCUACUAGGGUUUCUUUCCACUAUCCCAAGGGCCCCUCUCUGCAAAGUAAAUGGCGGAUCCGCCUUCGAGUCUCGGCAGGCGGAGAAAGCGGCGGCUGGGUUAAGGAGCAGGACAAUACCUUCCAAUAGCUAAUAUAAGCAGGAUCAUGAAGAGGGCGUUGCCUCCCCAACGGAAAUCGGUAAAGAAGACGCUAAAGACACUGUCCAGGAAUGCGUCUCUGAGUUCAUCACCAGCGAGGCGAGUGAUAAGUGCCAGAAAGAGAAGAGGAAAACUGUGAAUGGUGAGGAUUUGUUGUGGGUAGUGACAAAACAUUAGGAUUUGAGGAUUACCUUCCUGGAACCCUUGAAGCUGCAUUCACUUCUUCACCUCACCUUUUUCAAAGCUUUUAUAACUCAAAUACAUUAGUAGUUGUUGUUGGUACUCGACAUGACAGAGAACUGAUUGGGUCUUUUCAGUUGUGUUAGUUUGAACUUCGGUUAUUUAUUUCCAGUUUAGUUGGUUG
Long non-coding RNA from Brassica napus (rape), 572 nucleotides. RefSeq lists it as uncharacterized. The transcript has 2 exons. The record is from RefSeq and is a predicted model, not a curated record. NCBI's taxonomy places the organism in Eukaryota, Viridiplantae, Streptophyta, Magnoliopsida, Brassicales, Brassicaceae.